GGCCUUCUUUCAGGAAGCAGAGCAACGUGAGCGCAUGGUGUGAGCAAAGGGCAAUGGAUACAGGGACAUUCUAUGGGUGAAAGGAGCCAAAUCGGGCAGUUACCCUCUGAUAGGACAGUGAACUUGAGGACAGUGACAGCUAGGAAGAAUGGACCCAAUAAUCAGGGACUUUAGCAGUCCGAGCCGAGCAGGCCUUUCUGAGGGGUGAACUCGAGGAACUCUCUCUGCCCAAACUCUCAGAGUAAUUCAACCAUCUGGAUGGGGUCACUGUUUGUCACGGAGCGCACAGUAUGAGACAGUACCGCGUGCACAGCAUCACAGCAAGGAGAGGCUCUGAGAUUACAGUAAUGCUGUGUUCAUGACAGCCACUUCCUUCAAGCCAAAAAACACAUUAAUACAUAUUUGAAG
Oncorhynchus masou masou (cherry salmon) is the source of this 408-nucleotide long non-coding RNA. RefSeq lists it as uncharacterized. The record is from RefSeq and is a predicted model, not a curated record. The transcript has 3 exons. NCBI's taxonomy places the organism in Eukaryota, Metazoa, Chordata, Actinopteri, Salmoniformes, Salmonidae.